RNAcentral lists this ribosomal RNA (253 nucleotides) under uncultured bacterium. RNAcentral's name for it is "partial 16S ribosomal RNA". It matches the Rfam family "Bacterial small subunit ribosomal RNA", at positions 524 to 776 of the family's 1533-position model. The record is from RNAcentral.
UACGUAGGCAGCGAGCGUUGUUCGGAGUUACUGGGCGUAAAGCGUGCGUAGGCGGUGUCUUAAGUUUGUUGUGAAAUCUCCCGGCUUAACCGGGAGGGUGCGGCGAAUACUGAGAUGCUGGAGUGCCGGAGAGGUAAGCGGAAUUCCUGGUGUAGCGGUGAAAUGCGUAGAUAUCAGGAGGAACACCGGUGGCGAAGGCGGCAUUCUGGACCAUAACUGACACUGAGAGACGAAAGCCAGGGGAGCAAACGGG